RNAcentral lists this long non-coding RNA (1214 nucleotides) under Olea europaea subsp. europaea. The record is from RNAcentral. Lineage: Eukaryota; Viridiplantae; Streptophyta; Magnoliopsida; Lamiales; Oleaceae.
GCAUACUCUGUAACGCCCCGAAUUCUCUAGCAACCCGGAACGUUACCAAACGUGAAUUGAUUAAUAAAGUGCUUGAGGCAAAUACAUUUUAAUAUAACGAGGAAUUCAGUAAAAAUUGAACAACCUUAACAAAAGGUAAAUUAAAUUAAAUAACAUAUGCGGAACAAUUUGGAAUCAUAUCUUUUAUCAAACAUUAAUAAAAGUAGUUCUAACAAAUAAUAAAAAUAGGACUAAUUGAAAGUUAUGACGUGACUCACAAUUGAGUCUAAAUUUAAAAAUAAUAAUAAUCAACUGUUAAUAAAUAUUCUAGUGUUUCUAAAAAUUAAAGUACUUCAUGAUGGAGAUCCAUUGGUCCAAUAUGCAUCCAUCCACCGUCGUCCAGCAUACUAAUUUCUACCUGAAAAUUGUAAAUAGAGAGGGAUGAGUAUAACGAAUUAUACUCAAUGAGGUGCUUGCUACUCCACAUUCAAAUCAAACGUGAAAUUAUGCAUAAAUUCUCUUACCAACAUAACAUGAGAAUUAUCACACCAUGACAAAUGAUAAUUCAAGCAAGCGCUGCAAAUAACGUGAAGGCUAAAUUGUGCCUUAAACUGUAUCAUGAUUUCUCCCAAAAGAGCUCUGAACUGAAGUAAUUAAAUCCAUACAUAACAACGUUUUUGAAAAGAUGUGGACAAACCACUAAUAGCACUGAGCAUCUCACCUUUUGAAGAUGAACGUGGAAAGUAAAAUUGCUGAAAACGUGAUUCUUUAUUGCAAUUCCAAAGCCUUAAAAAGCCUUAAUAAUAUGGAGAAAUAUUUUAAAGAGGAGGAGAGAAUAAAGACGCGCAGAAGAAGAAUGAGGAAUUAAUUACUGAAUGCUUGAGGCUUAGUGCUAUAUUUAUACUAAACCACGGUGUAGGGUAAUCACGUGGGGAGUGGAAUUUCACUGAAAUUAGAACUCUAAAUUUCGUCCAAGUACAUCCCAGAAAUUUGGUUUGGAAAUCCUAACCUCCUGUUUGAUAUAAUCUGACUUGGGGAUUAACUUUUGAUAUUGGGGCCCAAACCAACUACUAUAAUAAUGAGGAGACAUUACUGGAGCAUAUCCUUUGCACACGUGAUCAUUAGGAUAAGUUUAGUCUAAAAUAACUAAUAGUUUAUGCAUACUAAUUAAAUAUUAACCAUAAACUUAAUUAAUUAAAUAGUAGACUACAUAAAUAAUAUAUGGAGUUUGUUAA